Molecule: unclassified non-coding RNA, 520 nt
Filed under: Hevea brasiliensis (rubber tree)
Lineage: Eukaryota; Viridiplantae; Streptophyta; Magnoliopsida; Malpighiales; Euphorbiaceae
Source: RNAcentral
AAUCAUAAAUUGUUUGCUUUUGAUAAGAAUCGUUUCUUUGUUCUGUUUUUGGAUUAUUUUUUGUUUGUAUAUCUUUCUUCUUUGUUUUGUGUAACUUCUUUGCAUAUAGAGGAGUUCAAUCAGAAAAAGAACAAGUUUUGGGUUUUAAAGGUAGGCUUUUAUUUCAAUAGAUUUUUGGCACAGAAAGGCAACUAUUGCUCCUUAGAAUAUGUUCCUGAUCAAAUUUUAACCGGGUCCUCAGCAUAAUAGUUCUUUUAAUUUCAAAAAACUUCUGGCUAGUAAAUUGAUUCUCUCUCUCUCUGUCUCUCUGGUGGGCUAAUUACCAAAAGAAAAUCUAAAGCUACACUUGCCGUUCUUCAAUUUGUGUGGCUGUCAAAGGCCAGAAAGUUGGUAACAAUUACAGCCGCUUUCUAGUUUCUCAAUAUAUGAUGUAGUGUACUUGUAUGGAUUAAAUCAAUAAUUAGUUGACUAGAACAGAACUAAAGCUAACCAGGAUUUUAAAAAAUAAUUUAAAUUUUAU